UUAGGGCAUGGUGUAAUACGGUAGCACGAAGAUUUUUGAAUUCUUAGGAUUAGGUUCAAGUCCUAUAGCUCUAG
Molecule: transfer RNA, 74 nt
Filed under: Viverricula indica (small Indian civet)
Lineage: Eukaryota; Metazoa; Chordata; Mammalia; Carnivora; Viverridae
Description: tRNA-Gln
Rfam family: tRNA
About the family: Transfer RNA (tRNA) molecules are approximately 80 nucleotides in length. Their secondary structure includes four short double-helical elements and three loops (D, anti-codon, and T loops). Further hydrogen bonds mediate the characteristic L-shaped molecular structure. tRNAs have two regions of fundamental functional importance: the anti-codon, which is responsible for specific mRNA codon recognition, and the 3' end, to which the tRNAs corresponding amino acid is attached (by aminoacyl-tRNA synthetases). tRNAs cope with the degeneracy of the genetic code in two manners: having more than one tRNA (with a specific anti-codon) for a particular amino acid; and 'wobble' base-pairing, i.e. permitting non-standard base-pairing at the 3rd anti-codon position.
Source: RNAcentral